GACGUACGCUGGCGGCGUGCUUAACACAUGCAAGUCGAACGGAAAGGCCCUGCUUUUGUGGGGUGCUCGAGUGGCGAACGGGUGAGUAACACGUGAGUAACCUGCCCUUGACUUUGGGAUAACUUCAGGAAACUGGGGCUAAUACCGGAUAGGAGCUCCUGCUGCAUGGUGGGGGUUGGAAAGUUUCGGCGGUUGGGGAUGGACUCGCGGCUUAUCAGCUUGUUGGUGGGGUAGUGGCUUACCAAGGCUUUGACGGGUAGCCGGCCUGAGAGGGUGACCGGCCACAUUGGGACUGAGAUACGGCCCAGACUCCUACGGGAGGCAGCAGUGGGGAAUAUUGCACAAUGGGCGGAAGCCUGAUGCAGCAACGCCGCGUGCGGGAUGACGGCCUUCGGGUUGUAAACCGCUUUCGCCUGUGACGAAGCGUGAGUGACGGUAAUGGGUAAAGAAGCACCGGCUAACUACGUG
This 468-nucleotide ribosomal RNA is filed under the name uncultured bacterium. RNAcentral describes it as "partial 16S ribosomal RNA". It matches the Rfam family "Bacterial small subunit ribosomal RNA", at positions 28 to 507 of the family's 1533-position model. The record is from RNAcentral.